This 91-nucleotide transfer RNA is filed under the name Jezberella montanilacus. RNAcentral's name for it is "beta proteobacterium MWH-P2sevCIIIb tRNA-Ser". It matches the Rfam family "tRNA". From Rfam's summary of the family: Transfer RNA (tRNA) molecules are approximately 80 nucleotides in length. Their secondary structure includes four short double-helical elements and three loops (D, anti-codon, and T loops). Lineage: Bacteria; Pseudomonadati; Pseudomonadota; Betaproteobacteria; Burkholderiales; Alcaligenaceae. The record is from RNAcentral.
GGAGGCGUGCCCGAGAGGCUGAAGGGGCUCCCCUGCUAAGGGAGUAUGUGAGCAAAAACUUGCAUCCAGGGUUCGAAUCCCUGCGCCUCCG